Molecule: ribosomal RNA, 253 nt
Filed under: uncultured bacterium
Lineage: Bacteria
Description: partial 16S ribosomal RNA
Rfam family: Bacterial small subunit ribosomal RNA
Source: RNAcentral
UACGAAGGGGGCGAGCGUUGUUCGGAUUUACUGGGCGUAAAGCGCGUGUAGGCGGCCUUGUAAGUCCGCCGUCAAAUCCCAGGGCUCAACCCUGGACAGGCGGUGGAAACUACCAAGCUGGAGUACGGUAGGGGCAGAGGGAAUUUCCGGUGUAGCGGUGAAAUGCGCAGAUAUCGGGAGGAACACCGGUGGCGAAGGCGGUUCUCUGGGCCUGUACUGACGCUGAGGAGCGAAAGCGUGGGGAGCGAACAGG